Carassius auratus (goldfish) is the source of this 584-nucleotide long non-coding RNA. RefSeq lists it as uncharacterized. The transcript is spliced from 4 exons. The record is from RefSeq and is a predicted model, not a curated record. Lineage: Eukaryota; Metazoa; Chordata; Actinopteri; Cypriniformes; Cyprinidae.
AGUGAAGCUGCUCUCUGUUCUACUAGAGGAUCCACACUGUAAACUAGAGAAACUAUGGCUGUGUGACUGCAGUAUUGGAGAGAAAGGCUUUGCUGUUCUGAUUUCAGCUCUGAGAUCAAACCCCUCACAUCUGACAGAACUGGAUCUGAGCUGUAAUAAACCAGGAGACUCAGGAGUGAGGCUGCUCUCUGCUCUUCUGGAGGAUCCACACUGUAAACUAGAGAAACUAUGGCUGAGGAGUUGCAGUAUUGGAGAAAAAGGCUGUGCUGCUCUGAUUUUAGCUCUGAGAUCAAACUCCCCACACCCGACAGAACUGAAUCUGAGAUGUAAUGAACCAGGAGACUCAGGAGUGAAGCUGCUCUCUGCUCUACUGGAGGAUCCACACUGUAAACUGAAGAAACUACAUAUUUGACAGUGGAAACUCCACAAGCUCCAAACAACUGAAUCAAAACAACUAGUCUUGAACAAGGCUCUCACCUGGACAUUAACCCCCUGGGGUCGAAGUCCACACUGGUGCUGUCUGUCACGUAUUUUCUUGAUGACUGCAAAUAAAAAUAAACAUACUUUGAUCAUUUUUGAUUUAA